AGGGAAUCUUCCACAAUGGACGCAAGUCUGAUGGAGCAACGCCGCGUGAGUGAAGAAGGUUUUCGGAUCGUAAAGCUCUGUUGUUGGUGAAGAAGGAUAGAGGCAGUAACUGGUCUUUAUUUGACGGUAAUCAACCAGAAAGUCACGGCUAACUACGUGCCAGCAGCCGCGGUAAUACGUAGGUGGCAAGCGUUGUCCGGAUUUAUUGGGCGUAAAGCGAGCGCAGGCGGAAUGAUAAGUCUGAUGUGAAAGCCCACGGCUCAACCGUGGAACUGCAUCGGAAACUGUCAUUCUUGAGUGCAGAAGAGGAGAGUGGAACUCCAUGUGUAGCGGUGGAAUGCGUAGAUAUAUGGAAGAACACCAGUGGCGAAGGCGGCUCUCUGGUCUGCAACUGACGCUGAGGCUCGAAAGCAUGGGUAGCGAACAGGAUUAGAUACCCUGGUAGUCCAUGCCGUAAACGAUGAGCGCUAGGUGUUGGGGGACUUUCCGGUUCUCAGUGCCGCAGCAAAUCG
Molecule: ribosomal RNA, 512 nt
Filed under: uncultured bacterium
Lineage: Bacteria
Description: partial 16S ribosomal RNA
Rfam family: Bacterial small subunit ribosomal RNA
Source: RNAcentral